UCAUAUGAGUGAGCAUUUUAAGACAAUGUGGAUUGAACAACCAUGCUAGAAAGCUGAACUUUCUUGGUAGAGGGAAAACGCUUGAAGACGUGGGGAAGAAGAAGGGAUCUUAAUUAUGAAAAAUGGAAGUGGAGAAAAGAAUGUAGGGGCUUUAAACAAGAAUGCUGCCUCGUCUUCCUCUUCUCAUCUUCGUCUUCCGCCGCUGCCUCACGCUGCUGCUGCCUCGUCUUCCUCUUCUCAUCUUCCACUUCCGCCGCUGCCUCUUCUCAUCUUCCUCAUAAGGAUUCUGGAGUAGCGGGAGGGGGUUUCUCUUCGUCUCCCCCUUCCUCUGCUUUCCUCUUCUCUCCCCCGGACGUCUCCACCGACGGCGAUAGAGGCCGAAGGAGAUGGAAAGCCAUGCAGAUAAACCUCAACAACCUAGUAGUAGUCUUCAGCUUCCUGGCCCUUCACAAUCUAAUUAUCCUGAAGAUCCAGAAUGGGAUGAAUUUGGAAAUGAUUUAUAUGCCAUCCCAGAAGUCCCCCAAGUUCAACACAAUCAAGUUCUGGAAUCUAUCCCAAGUAGAGUUGAGGAAGAUGGCAAAAUCAAGGCUCAUAUAGACAUGACUGACAUGGAUUGGCAGCGGACAUUUCAUCCAACAUUGCCCUACAAACGGUGAUCCUAAUUAUGACAUUAAGAAAGUCAAACCACCAACCGGCAUCCCUAAGUCAAUGCUAGUAGCCAUCGACCUAGGGCUGCCUUUGAAAAAGAAAUUGAGGGCUUGCCUUCUACCAGGACUGGGUGAGCUUCCUGCUGAACUGCGAUGCCCAUUGUGCAAAGAUGUGUUGAAAGAUGCUGUCUUCACUAGCAAAUGCUGCUAUGAGAGCUUCUGUGACGAAUGUAUAAGCGAGUACAUAAUCACACAAUCAAAAUGUGUUUGUGGAGAAACCAAUGUUCUUGCGGAUGAUCUGCUUCCUAAUAAAAGGCUUAGGGACGGUAUAUUAGAAACAAAAGCAACUAGCAGUGCAGAAAAUGGUGGAAACGUGCUGCAGAUACAAGAUAUGGAAUCUGCUCGCUGCUCUCAGCCAAAAGCACCAUCUCCCACUCUUUCUGCUACUGCAAAAGAAGAGAGUUUGCAGCCCCCUGUGAGAGAAAGUUCUGAAGCUUUGAAGGUGACUGUGGCUGAGAGUGAGGCAGCUGCAGCCAUUAGCGCUCCUCAGCAGUCUAACGAAAAAAGCAAAGCAGCAAGAAGUAUUGAUCAGACUGAGGCUACACAUGACUCCAUUAGCAUGAAGGAUCCAAUUUCUCAGGAAAGUGCUCUGCAAGCAGAGGAGGAAGUCCAACAAAAGCUCUCUAUGGGAGAUCAAGAUUUCCAAUCCAUCAAACGGCCCCCUAGUCCUACAUGCGUGAGCGGAACGGUGCCGGCGGUAAACAGUUUUCACCCGGCGACAUCUGCUCCGUGUGCCGGCUGCCGUGAAGGUCUUCACAGCUCGUCCGGAAGCCUGCUUCAAAAGGGAUUGUUUAAGAAGGCGCUGGAGCUCUUCGUGUUCUGCGAAGCUUUUGUUCCUCUCAUCGUCUUCUUCACCAACGGAAAGCUCUGAGAUUUUCACCCACUGCAGGUUCCUCUCCCUCCCCACCUCCCUCUCCUGCGAUGAAUUAGAUAGAUUGUGUUCUGUCCUGCUAUUUCCUUGUCCUAUUUCUCCUUUCUUACGUUGUUCAGGUUGGAUAGAUUUGAGCGAUCUUUUCCUCGCUCUCAUCUCCGAAGUUGAGGGUCUUCUAUUCCUACCUCUAGUUGCUGAUGAUUUUAAUCCAUAGGCAUCCGUUUUUUUUGUUUCGUGAGAUUGAGAUUCCCUGAUUUCCUUUGUUUUUUUGUUUUGCAUGGUAGUGUUUUUUAAGGGCUUUUAUUUUUUGACCCGAGAAUGGUGUUUUCGUUUUCUGCCAACCGUUUACGGCCUUACACUCUGUUCUAGGAAUGAAACCCUGCAGGGUUUUCUUUUAAUAGAAUUUGGCAGCAGAACAUGGUUUGGCAGUGUCUCAGACAUGAGCCGAUAAGCCAUGUUUUGCCAUACUUGAAGCACUGUUGUAAGGACGAUUCCUAAAUUGCAAAUGCAGGCUGUUUUUAUGGUUGAGAAAUUUUUACAUUGAAGGUGCGGUUAGGAGCUUGGCAGCACAGUUGGUCGGGUCGGGUCAGGGUUCAGACCCGGACCCGAGCUCCACUCGCGUGUGAGCCCGAUGCCCUCUCCUCCCUCGUCUUUCCCUCUUCUCCCGCAUCUUCCUCACAGACCCCCCCCCCCCCCCCUCUGUUGCCACUCGUGCCAGCACAAGGAAGAAGAAGACGAUGGAGGUGCUGGACGGUGAAGAGAAGACGGAGGUGGUGCAGGCGGCGGCGAGGACGGCGGUGCUCCGCUUGGGGACAUUUUUCCCCUCAUACCAGUGAAGUGAGGGCAUUAGUGGUGAAGGCAGCUAGCGAUUUUUGGCGGUGGCACUUGACUGAAACUUGAGGAGGCUGUUGGAGGCAUCACAGCAGUUUGAACACUUAGAUUGGGGUGAGCAAGGCCUUUUUGAGCUGAGAUUAUUGAAUAUUAGGCACUUGACUGAAAGGAGGCUGUUGGAGGCGUCACAGCAGUUUGAACACUUAGAUUGGGGAACACCGGGCACAUCCCGUCGACCUUGAGCUACCGGAUUCGAAGCUUGAGGCAUUUUGAAGAGUUUGUGAGUGCGCCACAGGUAUGGCAGCAUUCCAGGCAAAUCCCUGCCUGGGGCAAAUGUAUGAAUGUGUGUUCCUAGGGUCGUGAGAUCCUAAGAUUGUGAUGCAAUUGAUUGACUGUUUAGUGAAUGAAUGUGUGUAUGCAUGUAAAUGUUUUGAUAUAUGAUAUGAAUUGUUUUGGAAAGACUAUGAGAAGUUUGUUUUGAAAA
Molecule: RNA transcript, 2893 nt
Organism: Nymphaea colorata (pocket water lily)
Lineage: Eukaryota; Viridiplantae; Streptophyta; Magnoliopsida; Nymphaeales; Nymphaeaceae
Gene name: E3 ubiquitin ligase PQT3-like
Exons: 10
Source: RefSeq, a predicted model, not a curated record